CCUACGGGUGGCAGCAGUGGGGAAUAUUGCACAAUGGGCGCAAGCCUGAUGCAGCGACGCCGCGUGAGGGAUGACGGCCUUCGGGUUGUAAACCUCUGUUAGCAUCGAAGAAGCGAAAGUGACGGUAGGUGCAGAGAAAGCGCCGGCUAACUACGUGCCAGCAGCCGCGGUAAUACGUAGGGCGCGAGCGUUGUCCGGAAUUAUUGGGCGUAAAGAGCUUGUAGGCGGUUGGUCGCGUCUGCUGUGAAAGGCCGGGGCUUAACUCCGGUUUUGCAGUGGGUACGGGCUAACUAGAGUGCAGUAGGGGAGACUGGAAUUCCUGGUGUAGCGGUGGAAUGCACAGAUAUCAGGAGGAACACCGAUGGCGAAGGCAGGUCUCUGGGCUGUAACUGACGCUGAGAAGCGAAAGCAUGGGGAGCGAACAGGAUUAGAUACCCGGGUAGUC
This 445-nucleotide ribosomal RNA is filed under the name uncultured Rothia sp. RNAcentral's name for it is "bacterial SSU rRNA". It matches the Rfam family "Bacterial small subunit ribosomal RNA", at positions 338 to 795 of the family's 1533-position model. The record is from RNAcentral. Lineage: Bacteria; Bacillati; Actinomycetota; Actinomycetes; Micrococcales; Micrococcaceae.